RNAcentral lists this ribosomal RNA (253 nucleotides) under uncultured bacterium. Its description in RNAcentral is "partial 16S ribosomal RNA". It matches the Rfam family "Bacterial small subunit ribosomal RNA", at positions 524 to 776 of the family's 1533-position model. The record is from RNAcentral.
UACGGAGGGGGCUAGCGUUGUUCGGAAUUACUGGGCGUAAAGCGCGCGUAGGCGGAUCUGCAAGUCGGGGGUGAAAUCCCGAGGCUCAACCUCGGAACUGCCUUCGAUACUGCGGGUCCCGAGUCCGGGAGAGGUGAGUGGAAUUCCUAGUGUAGAGGUGAAAUUCGUAGAUAUUAGGAAGAACACCAGUGGCGAAGGCGGCUCACUGGCCCGAUACUGACGCUGAGGUGCGAAAGCGUGGGGAGCAAACAGG